This 377-nucleotide ribosomal RNA is filed under the name uncultured eukaryote. Its description in RNAcentral is "partial 18S ribosomal RNA". It matches the Rfam family "Eukaryotic small subunit ribosomal RNA", at positions 592 to 976 of the family's 1831-position model. The record is from RNAcentral.
CAAUAGCGUAUAUUUAAGUUGUUGCAGUUAAAAAGCUCGUAGUUGGAUUUCGGGCGGGUGACGGCGGUCCGCCUCUGGUGUGCACUGCCGGCAUCCGCCUUUCUGUCGGGGACGGGCUCCUGGGCUUCAUUGCUUGGGACUCGGGUUCGACGUGGUUACUUUGAGUAAAUUAGAGUGUUCAAAGCAGGCGAUCGCCCUGAAUACAUUAGCAUGGAAUAGCACGAUAGGACUCUGGCCUAUUUUGCUGGUCUGUAGGACCGGAGUAAUGAUUAAGAGGGACAGUCGGGGGCAUUCGUAUUUCAUUGUCAGAGGUGAAAUUCUUGGAUUUAUGAAAGACGAACCUCUGCGAAAGCAUUUGCCAAGGAUGUUUUCAUUGA